Molecule: ribosomal RNA, 440 nt
Filed under: uncultured bacterium
Lineage: Bacteria
Description: bacterial SSU rRNA
Rfam family: Bacterial small subunit ribosomal RNA
Source: RNAcentral
CCUACGGGUGGCAGCAGUGAGGAAUAUUGCACAAUGGGCGCAAGCCUGAUGCAGCGACGCCGCGUGGGCGAUGAAGGUUUUCGGAUCGUAAAGCCCUUUUCUGUGUGACGAGCAAGGACGGUAGCACAGGAAAAAGUGUCGGCUAACUACGUGCCAGCAGCCGCGGUAAAACGUAGGACGCAAGCGUUAUCCGGAGUUACUGGGCGUAAAGCGCGAGUAGGCGGUAGCGUAAGUUACCUAUGAAAGCUCCUGGCUCAACUGGGAGAGGAUAGGUGAUACUGCGAGACUAGAGUGUAACAGAGGAACGUGGAAUUCCGGGUGUAGUGGUGAAAUGCGUAGAUAUCCGGAGGAACACCAGUGGCGAAGGCGGCGUUCUGGGUUACAACUGACGCUAAGACGCGAAAGCAUGGGGAGCGAACGGGAUUAGAUACCCGUGUAGU